Molecule: long non-coding RNA, 3657 nt
Organism: Canis lupus familiaris (dog)
Lineage: Eukaryota; Metazoa; Chordata; Mammalia; Carnivora; Canidae
Exons: 5
Source: RefSeq, a predicted model, not a curated record
GGUCAGGGGCCCCCCCCGGGGCGCCUUCCCAGCCCCGGAGCCCACCCACCUUCAUGGAGAGCAGGCGGGUGAGGUAGAUUUCCGGGAUGGCCUUGGCCCGCGCCCGCUCCCGCUCCCGCUCCCGCUCCCUCAGGCUGCUGCGCCGGGCCUUAGCUCCUUCUGGCUCUUCGGUGCCUUUCACCAGGUGCCAGAGGUGGACCCCACCCUCCUCACCAUCCUCCAGCAUGGGAACGUCUGAGGGCCCGGAAGUCUGGCCUCAGUCCCGCGCCCCGUCCCCCCUGCCCCAGCGCUGGCGGCGGUUGCCCAGCCUGCUCACCUGGCCCGGUGGGGCUGGGGGUGGCAGCAGAACCAGGGCAGCGGGAGGAGAGCUCAGCCCAACAGCCCCCGGUCCCGGAGCUGCCCGGCCAGGACGAGCUGCUGCCCUGGUCCGCCCCAGGUCCAUGGCCCUGCGUACAGCUUUGGCGGCCCCCCUCCCCGGCAAGGUGUGGGGGACACCCAGGCGAUGCAGAAGGCAGGACCGGUUGUCCCGCCUGCCUGCUCCAGGCUCUGGGGCACGUGGGGGCACGUGGGGGCACAGGACUCACUCUCCCCCAGGGUGCAGUUCUGGGCCAGGCUCUGGGAGACGGCCCCUCCGUUGUGCAGCUGGGGGAUGAGCCCCACGGUGGCUCCAUCCGGGACCUGGGGGGCAGGUGAGCAGAGGCUGGGCUCCUUCCUGGGCUGGCCCGGGGGCGGGGGCCUGCCCCCCCCAGCCCCUGCCCGCCUGGCACCUUGUAGUGCUGAAGAGUGUUGAGUCUCUUCCAGUGGUUCUGGGUCACUGAGGUCAGGUCCUCAUCUGACAGGGUUAGGUGACCAGCAAGGCCCGAGCGCCACUCUGGGGGCACCCAGGGAGGCCAGUCAGCCCGCAGCCUGCUCUCCCAGUCUGCCAUUUGGAGACUCAGGCGGGGCUCAGCGUGUACAGGUGGCAACGGCCCCACGCAGGGAUGGGGGGUGGUGGGCUCUCACCGAGAUCUAGGGCGUGCGCUGAGGGCCUCUGGGAGAAGGGGGUGCCCUUGUAGACUUGCUCCAACACCUUCUCUUUGACCUGGGUGAUGGUGUCUGUGUCGAGCACCCGGGCGGGCACGCGCUGCACCGCGCCACCCCCUGCGGCCCCGCCAGCCCUGGGGCCCGCCAACACCAUCAGCGUCAGGGGCCGGAACUCCACGUCCUCCCGAAGCAGCCGGCUGUCGUUCAGGGUCCGUUUUGCCUUGCCGGUCACAGCGUCCACGGGGCCCUUGUCCACCUGGUACUGUAUGGCCCGGAGGAGCAUGUACAGCGGCUCACCGGCCACCUCCUGCAACCAUCAGGACGGGCCAGAGUCGGCGCCCGGGACAAGGCCCCCAGGGAAACUGUGGGCACAGGUCGGGGAGGCCACAGCAGCAGCCUUCAGAUGAGGGGAAGGUGACGGUGCCAUCCCGGGCGCCCCUCACCUUCAGGAAGGCAUAGAGACAGAUGGACAGCCAGUUGGUAAGCAGCUUCUCCACCAUGGUCUCUGUCCUGUGGGGAGCAGACCCCAGGUCAGAGAGAGGGUGUCACUGGGCCACCCUGUCCCUGGGCUGAUGUGGGCAAAGGAGGGAAGGCGGGAUGGGGUGGGGGGUGGGGGUGCAGCUCAGCGGGGAGCCUCCACCCCUGCUGCCAGGCCCACGGUGGGGCCAAAGCCAACCUGCGCAGCAUGAGCUUGGGGUUCUUGUGCACGUAGUGGGCAGCCAGGUCACUCAGCAGCGUCCUCAGGAUGUCCGUCAGGUACUCGAGCUUGCCGUGCAGCGCCAGGGACAGCAGAGAAGCCACAUGGCAGCGGUCCCGCUGGGAGAAGCUGGGCUGCUCCUCCAGGGUGUGGAUGAGCUGGCGGGAGGGGCGCCGGCACUCAGGGGAGGCCCCCCACUGGCCCCCCCGCCCCCGUGCCCGCUGCCCCCCUUCCAGACCCCGCGGGCGCCCCGCCCAGCCACGCAGCCCUCACUGUGAGGAGGAAGAGCUUGCUGUUGAGCAGGUUGGAGAGCUGAGUGAGGCCCUGGCGCACGGGGGCACGGCGGCCCUCCUCCCCGGGCCCCUCGAGCGCAGGCUGCAGGGGGCAGCCGCCGUGCCCCGGGAAGAAGACCCGCUCGGCGUAGGUGUGGUAGUCCAGGAAGGGGAUCCCGCUGGCCUCCAGGUCGCUGCUGAGGUCGGUCAUCUCGGUCAUCAGGUCUGCGGGCGGGGAGCCACCGAGGUAUGCACUCGGGCUCAGGUGGGCCCCCGGCGCCCUCCCCGCUGCGCUCUCCUCACCUGUGAACUCCUUGCGGCACUGGUCACCCACACCAAUCUCCAGGUUCUCCAGUUGCACCAGAACCUUCUGAUAGUCCCGCAGGGCCUGCUUGCUCUUGUGCCUGCACCCCAGGGGCCAGGUGUUAGUCACUGGCCCGAGACGGUGGGGCCCCUGAGGCCACCAGGCCUGGAAGCCCACCUCUGGCACCUUUCCUGAAGUGCAGAGGGGAGUUUGUGCAGGUGCCUGCGGCACCGGCAGCGGCACCAGGAGGGGCCUCUCACCUGUACAUGAGGGUGAGGAGGAGGACAGCGGCGAUCAGCACGGCGGCGCCCAGGCCCAGGCCCACCUGGGCCUCCACGGGGAAGGCAGACAGAGUGGGCUCAGUCUCGUACUGGACUGGGCCCAGGGCCAGGCGUACGUUGCCCAUCUGAACCUGAGGGCAGGGUGGGGGGCAGGCUCCUGAGUGGGGGAGCCCAGGGCUCCGCCUGCCCAGCCACCCAUGCCCCUGGAGCCCCGGCUCACCACGAACUGCGGCAGGGCACUGGAGCCGUUGGCGGGCUGCGGGGCCCGGGAGGGCGGCUCGCAGUACAGGUGGGUGAGCGUGAGCGUCUUCACCAGGCACUCGCCGUCGCCGAUGUGCACGCGCACCUCCUCCUUGCUAAUCCCCAGGUUGAGGCCCUGGCCCUGGGAGAGAGACCCGAGCCUGAGCCGCGGGGCCCGGCCUGUGUCCCCGCUCCCCGCACGGAGCUCGCCAGCGGAGCCCUCACCUCCACGUCCAGGACGUUGCCCGGCUUGAGGCGGGUGAAGAAGACCCGCUGGGGGUGCACCCCAUCUGGCACGGCAGGGCUCUGGCACAGAAGGAGGCUGGACGAGUUGAUGGAACAGACAGUGGAGCACUGCGAGGCGGCAGGGGCCGGGACAAGGAGGGGUGGGAACUCUGCCCGCUACCCCGAGGCCAACCUUGAAGUCCUCACCUAGGUUUCGCUCCGGCCCCUCCCUCCUGCUGCCCCCCCGGGCUGGGCACUGACCUGGUCGCCCCUCUCUCUCGGUAGCCACUCUCCGAGGGCUUCCCCAGGAAAGCAGCCCUCAGCUCCUGGCAGCCAGGAUGGCUCACCGGGCAGAGGUGCGGUAGAGAGAGGGCUCGGGGCUGCAGGGGCGGCCGGCCACGUUCACGGCGUCUUGCACCUCGGCGAAGUCCCGGCCCAGGUUGGAGCCCCAGAUGGUGAGGGCCAAGCCGCCCUCGGGGGGCCCCGUCAGGGGCUCAAUCUGCAGCGGGGAAGGAUGGCGAUGGAGUCUCCCCAACCCACCCCCACUGUGUGGUGGGGGUGCCCCAGCAGCCAGCACCUGGGGCGGGCUAGAGCUGCUAGGGCUUGGGGGCCUGA